Molecule: ribosomal RNA, 486 nt
Filed under: uncultured bacterium
Lineage: Bacteria
Description: bacterial SSU rRNA
Rfam family: Bacterial small subunit ribosomal RNA
Source: RNAcentral
AAAUGAAUAGACGGGGGCCCGCACAAGCAGUGGAUUAUGUGGUUUAAUUCGAAGCAACGCGAAGAACCUUACCAGGUCUUGACAUCCAACGGCCGGCAUAGAGAUAUGCCUUUCCUUCGGGACGUUGAGACAGGUGGUGCAUGGUUGUCGUCAGCUCGUGUCGUGAGAUGUUGGGUUAAGUCCCGCAACGAGCGCAACCCUUACUGUUAGUUGCUACGCAAGAGCACUCUAACGGGACUGCCGUUGACAAAACGGAGGAAGGUGGGGACGACGUCAAAUCAUCAUGCCCUUUAUGACCUGGGCUACACACGUAAUACAAUGGCGCGAAACAAUGGGAAGCAAGACCGCGAGGUGGAGCAAACCCCCAAAAAGCGUCUCAGUUCGGAUCGCAGGCUGCAACUCGCCUGCGUGAAGUCGGAAUUGCUAGUAAUCGUGGAUCAUCAUGCCACGGUGAAUACGUUCCCGGGCCUUGUACACACCGCCCGU